GAUAUACUCCCUCUGUCCGAAAAUACUUGUCAUAGGAAUGGAUGUAUCUAGAUAUAUUUUAGUUCUAGAUACAUACAUUUUUAUACAUUUACGCGACAAGUAUUUCCGAACGGAGGGAGUAGUAU
Non-coding RNA from Hordeum vulgare subsp. vulgare (domesticated barley), 125 nucleotides. Lineage: Eukaryota; Viridiplantae; Streptophyta; Magnoliopsida; Poales; Poaceae. The record is from Rfam.